AGGGAAUCUUCCACAAUGGACGAAAGUCUGAUGGAGCAACGCCGCGUGAGCGAGGAAGGUUUUCGGAUCGUAAAGCUCUGUUGCUGGAGAAGAACGAGUGCGAGAGGAAAUGCUCGUACUGUGACGGUAUCCAGCCAGAAAGCCACGGCUAACUACGUGCCAGCAGCCGCGGUAAUACGUAGGUGGCAAGCGUUGUCCGGAAUUAUUGGGCGUAAAGCGCGCGCAGGCGGCUUCUUAAGUCUGAUGUGAAAUCUUGCGGCUCAACCGCAAACGGUCAUUGGAAACUGGGAAGCUUGAGUGCAGAAGAGGAGAGUAGAAUUCCACGUGUAGCGGUGAAAUGCGUAGAUAUGUGGAGGAAUACCAGUGGCGAAGGCGGCUCUCUGGUCUGUAACUGACGCUGAGGCGCGAAAGCGUGGGGAGCAAAC
This 425-nucleotide ribosomal RNA is filed under the name uncultured bacterium. RNAcentral's name for it is "bacterial SSU rRNA". It matches the Rfam family "Bacterial small subunit ribosomal RNA", at positions 356 to 773 of the family's 1533-position model. The record is from RNAcentral.